Piliocolobus tephrosceles (Ugandan red Colobus) is the source of this 1125-nucleotide long non-coding RNA. NCBI's taxonomy places the organism in Eukaryota, Metazoa, Chordata, Mammalia, Primates, Cercopithecidae. The record is from Ensembl.
AUAACAUAAAUAAUAAUGUCUUUAAUAAUUAUGACAGUCCAAUUAAUACAAUGAUUGAACUGAAAAGUCAUAUAAACGACAACAUGUUUGAUCUAUCUCCAUCCCAUUUCGAUAAAAAUAACAAAAAAAUAAAUGAACAGUCAUGUAAUAACACAAUAAAUAUGGAAAGUAAAUACAUACAUAGUUUUUCACAAACCAAUAUAAAAAAAAAAACGACAAUCCUAUUACUAAACCGUGUAUUAAAAAGUCACUCAGUAACAAAUUAAGUAUAUUUACUAACUUACUCCCAGUAUGGAAUAAAAAUAAUAUAAAAUUACAAAAAAGAGCAUAUACAAUUAAUUAUAGUAACUUACAUCCUACUAUAUAUAAAAAUCAAUUAUUUAUAAAAAAACAUACUCCAAGUAUAUUUAAUAUUACUGAAAAAAAUGAUUCUAAUAAAAAUAAUAAUACAAAUAUUAUAUUAAAUAAAAAAGAAAAAACAUGUUCUAAUAUUAAUUCUAAUAGAUAUAAAUAUAACAGUAACAAUUAUAACGUUGUAAAUUAUAACAUUUAUGAUAGUACUCAUACAAAUACAGCAAACAAAAGAAGUAAAACUACAAACUUUCUUCCCAUUCAACAUUUAAACCAUAAUUUAAAUAUAAAUACAAAAAAAAAAUAUAUUUAUAUCUACGAUGAUAAAAAUAUUAAAACCUAUAAUUCAGUUCAAAAAAUUAAUAAUAAUAUGUUAUAUAAUAAUAAAACAAGUAGUAAUAAUAACAACAAUUGUUGUACUUCAAAUUUCGAUACUUCUUUUAAAAAAUUCCAAAAAGUUAGUACUAACCAUGACAAAACUAACCAUGACAAAACUAACCAUGACAAAACUAACCAUGAAAAAUUAAACAAUAGCUCAACUAAUAUAGUUAAAAAUAACAAAACGGAUGAAAAAAAAAGAACACAAUCGUAUACAAACAUGAUAUUAACAUUUUUUGGGAUAAAUACUGCAGAUAAUGGAAAUAAAAAUGGCACCAAAAAUGGCAUCAAAAAUGGCACCGAAAAUGGUACCGAAAAUGGUACCGAAAAUGGUACCGAAAAUGGUACCGAAAAUGGCACCAAAAAUGGCACCGAAAAUGGCACCGAAAAUGGCAC